GUGCACCAGGCGCGAAUCCUCUGCAAUGUGCGAAAGCAUGACAGGGGCAUUCCAAGUGCUCUUGUUUUACAAGAGCUUUUCUCCGGUCCAAGACGCCGGAGGAAUAAGGGCUGGGUAAGACCGGUGCCAGCCGCCGCGGUAACACCGGCAGCUCGAGUGGUGGCCGCUAUUAUUGGGCCUAAAGCGUUCGUAGCCGGGCAGGCAAGUGUUCUGGUAAAUCCCACAACUUAAUUAUGGGGCUUCAGAAUAUACUGCCUGCCUUGAGACCGGGAGAGGCUGGAGGUACUUUCGGGGUAGGGGUAAAAUCCUAUAAUCCCGAAGGGACCACCGGUGGCGAAGGCGUCCAGCCAGAACGGUCUGACGGUGAGGGACGAAACCCGAGGGGAGCGAGCCGGAUUAGAUACCCCGGUA
RNAcentral lists this ribosomal RNA (411 nucleotides) under uncultured microorganism. RNAcentral describes it as "bacterial SSU rRNA". It matches the Rfam family "Archaeal small subunit ribosomal RNA", at positions 330 to 743 of the family's 1478-position model. The record is from RNAcentral.